This 1112-nucleotide ribosomal RNA is filed under the name Achromobacter sp. NCCP-1101. Its description in RNAcentral is "bacterial SSU rRNA". It matches the Rfam family "Bacterial small subunit ribosomal RNA", at positions 35 to 1160 of the family's 1533-position model. The record is from RNAcentral. Lineage: Bacteria; Pseudomonadati; Pseudomonadota; Betaproteobacteria; Burkholderiales; Alcaligenaceae.
GCAUGCGGGAGCUACCAUGCAGUCGACGGCAGCACGGACUUCGGUCUGGUGGCGAGUGGCGAACGGGUGAGUAAUGUAUCGGAACGUGCCCAGUAGCGGAGGAUAACUACGCGAAAGCGUAGCUAAUACCGCAUACGCCCUACGGGGGAAAGCAGGGGAUCGCAAGACCUUGCACUAUUGGAGCGGCCGAUAUCGGAUUACCUAGUUGGUGGGGUAACGGCUCACCAAGGCGACGAUCCGUAGCUGGUUUGAGAGGACGACCAGCCACACUGGGACUGAGACACGGCCCAGACUCCUACGGGAGGCAGCAGUGGGGAAUUUUGGACAAUGGGGGAAACCCUGAUCCAGCCAUCCCGCGUGUGCGAUGAAGGCCUUCGGGUUGUAAAGCACUUUUGGCAGGAAAGAAACGUCGCGGGUUAAUACCCCGCGGAACUGACGGUACCUGCAGAAUAAGCACCGGCUAACUACGUGCCAGCAGCCGCGGUAAUACGUAGGGUGCAAGCGUUAAUCGGAAUUACUGGGCGUAAAGCGUGCGCAGGCGGUUCGGAAAGAAAGAUGUGAAAUCCCAGAGCUUAACUUUGGAACUGCAUUUUUAACUACCGAGCUAGAGUGUGUCAGAGGGAGGUGGAAUUCCGCGUGUAGCAGUGAAAUGCGUAGAUAUGCGGAGGAACACCGAUGGCGAAGGCAGCCUCCUGGGAUAACACUGACGCUCAUGCACGAAAGCGUGGGGAGCAAACAGGGAUUAGAUACCCUGGUAGUCCACGCCCUAGCGAUGUCAACUAGCUGUUGGGGUCUUCGGGCCUUGGUAGCGCAGCUAACGCGUGAAGUUGACCGCCUGGGGAGUACGGUCGCAAGAUUAAAACUCAAAGGAAUUGACGGGGACCCGCACAGCGGUGGCUGAUGUGGAUUAUUUCGAUGCAACGCGAAAAACCUUACCUACCCUUGACAUGUCUGGAAUCCUGACAGAAUUGGGAGUGCUCGCAGAGACCGGAACACAGGUGCUGCAUGGCUGUCGUCAGCUCGUGUCGUGAGAUGUUGGGUUAAGUCCCGCAACGAGCGCACCCUUGUCAUUAGUUGCUACGAAAGGGCACUCUAUGAGACUGCCGGUGACA